GGCUCAGGAUGAACGCUGGCGGCGUGCCUAAUACAUGCAAGUCGAGCGAAUGGAUUGAGAGCUUGCUCUCAAGAAGUUAGCGGCGGACGGGUGAGUAACACGUGGGUAACCUGCCCAUAAGACUGGGAUAACUCCGGGAAACCGGGGCUAAUACCGGAUAACAUUUUGAACUGCAUGGUUCGAAAUUGAAAGGCGGCUUCGGCUGUCACUUAUGGAUGGACCCGCGUCGCAUUAGCUAGUUGGUGAGGUAACGGCUCACCAAGGCAACGAUGCGUAGCCGACCUGAGAGGGUGAUCGGCCACACUGGGACUGAGACACGGCCCAGACUCCUACGGGAGGCAGCAGUAGGGAAUCUUCCGCAAUGGACGAAAGUCUGACGGAGCAACGCCGCGUGAGUGAUGAAGGCUUUCGGGUCGUAAAACUCUGUUGUUAGGGAAGAACAAGUGCUAGUUGAAUAAGCUGGCACCUUGACGGUACCUAACCAGAAAGCCACGGCUAACUACGUGCCAGCAGCCGCGGUAAUACGUAGGUGGCAAGCGUUAUCCGGAAUUAUUGGGGGAAAGCGCGCGCGGGUGGUUUCUUAAGUCUGAUGUGAAAAGCCCACGGUUCAACCCGGGGAGGGUCAUUUGGAAAACUGGGAGACUUGAGUGCAGAAGAGGAAAGUGGAAUUCCAUGUGUUAGCGGUGAAAAUGCGUAGAGAUAUGGAGGAACACCAGUGGCCGAAGGCGACUUUUCUGGGCCUGGUAACUGACACUGAGGGGCCGAAAGCGUGGGGGAGCAAAACAG
Molecule: ribosomal RNA, 786 nt
Filed under: Bacillus sp. (in: firmicutes)
Lineage: Bacteria; Bacillati; Bacillota; Bacilli; Caryophanales; Bacillaceae
Description: bacterial SSU rRNA
Rfam family: Bacterial small subunit ribosomal RNA
Source: RNAcentral